Calidris pugnax (ruff) is the source of this 3062-nucleotide RNA transcript. It is a transcript of the gene named family with sequence similarity 204 member A, with no coding region annotated. The record is from RefSeq and is a predicted model, not a curated record. Lineage: Eukaryota; Metazoa; Chordata; Aves; Charadriiformes; Scolopacidae. The transcript has 9 exons.
GCAGAGUCCAAUCGGCGGGCGGGGUGUUCCGGCGGUGCCAAGAUGGCGGCCAGACUGGUUAUGUUUUUAUCUUGGAACGGGUCAGCUCGAAUAACUCUGGUGUCUUUGCAGUGACUUGAAGUGGUUUGGACUUGUUUAAACUGGAAGAUGUGGAGUGGACUUUUACCUCCAGGACUGAAUGAAAGUGAUGUUGACUUAAGUUCUGAUGAUGGAGACGAAUUGCAUGGUUCAUUUUCAAAGGAAGAUGCAAAAGAAGAUACCGAAACGGUGAAACUUUCCGAAUUCCAGGAGAAGGGACCCGAAAGCAAUGCCAUCAGUGAGCCCAUUGAGAUACCACUGACAGGUGGAGAAAAUGAAUCUCAAACAUGCCCUUCUGGAGUGUCUUUAAAUAUUUGGAAUAAAUUUUUGGAGCUUCAGAAGAAAAACCGUGAAAUGAAAACACAAGCAAAUCAGGAAAACAAAAGCCGAAAAAGAAAGCGCCGCAGAAAAGAAAAGCAGAAAAAGAACGAUGAAGUGACUAAGAGUAGUCAACAGUUGGCAUAUGAAGAUAAAUGGAAAGAACUUACACAAUACUUUGGAAUCAAUGACAGAUUCGAAUCACCUGUGGAUAGCAGGGCUCCACAAAAGUCUGGCCUUGAACUUAGCAUAGAGAAGUCUGUGGCCGAAGGUGACAUUGAUAAGGCUGAGGAGCUGAGUGACAGAUUAGCUACUCGUGAGCUUGGUGUGAAAAUUGCCAAAGCUGCUGCUUGCCGCAACUUUGUGAAAGCCAAGCAAGAAGCGGAGGCUGCCCAAGAAGCUCGAAAGAAAAAGAAGCUUGCUUGGGGAUUUGAAGCCAAGAAAAGAUGGGAAACAAAAAGCAACAUGGGAUACAUGUAACCCAUCCUGUUUUUCUCAGGAGUCAAAUACUUAGUUUUGCUUGAAGGAUCUUUGUCAGUGACUUCUUAAACCUAAACCCAAACAAAAAUCCCAACACAUCGAAUUCCUUGUGUUUCUUUGAAUGAUGUUAGAUUGCAGUAUCUUGUUUUGGCUCUCUCAUAAUAAAAAUGCUAUCUAAAUGUCAAUAGUAUGUUAAAUAUGGUAUUUUUUUUUUUAAAUUAAAAUCUAAGAUAAUGCAUUUGGAGUCUGGUAGAGAACUCUCUGAUGUUAGGAUAAAAUACUGGUUCCAUAUGUGUUCUGUGCUGCACAGCAGUUACAAUGUGUGGGUGUAAGGAGAAGGGUGAGUUUUCCUGCUAAGGUUAUACAGAGUUAGUGUACUAAGUACCACUUCUUGGGUUGCUUGAAAGUUUGGGGAGGCACUAAAUAAAGAAAAGUGAAACCACGCUACCUGUUUAAAAACAUCAUUAUUUAUGCAUUUAUGUACUUACUAAAUAUGAACAGAAAAAAAGUUGGCUGAAAAAAUCCAUCCUCCCUCUCCGGGGAGGAUCUGAUACUAUUCAUCAUGUCCUGCUGCCAUGUUCUUCAGAAUAUUUCAAAGUCUCAUUUUCCUUGCCUUCCCAAGAACUGAAGUUUGAAAAGUCCUAGUUUCUUUGAGCAGGUAAAGUAUAGAAAUACAUAUCUUGAUAUGUAUCUGGAAUACGUUACAUUGUGCAGUUAACUGUACCCAAGAAACAAAUGCAGGUUUUACUUCAAAUCAAAUGUUUUACAGAUCAAUUAGGAUUUGAAUGUUUAUGUUAAAAGAUUAUAACAGGAAUUGAUGAUAAUGUUUCUUCAAAAUUAUUCUCAGUGAAAAGUAAGGACACAUUCAGAACUAAUAACUUUUCUCCCUGAAGCUCUUGCGUAUAUGUUUAGUCACCACAAUGCCUGAAUUGAAUUGGUAAUGUAAAUGUCAGUUAUUGUUAACCAAGAUUAAUAUGUUUCAGGCCAAAGGUAUGGUAUUAGCGUAAUGGUGAUUUACUGUGUAAGUACUUGGGGCUAAAACAACUUGCCAACAAAUAGCAAUUUGAAGUUUUACGGCCCCAAUUCGAAGAGUUUAGGUUUGCAGUCCAACAUGGAAUAGUGCAUUUUUGUUCAUUAGCCCUCAGGAUGUUUGAUUCUUUUUUUUUUUUUUAAGCAGAGCAUCAUAUUUCUUUCACAAAGAUGAGAGUUUGCAAUAUGGUAAUCUGCAGUUAGCUGUAAUUAGUUACGAUGACAGAGCUGAACACAAUUGCCAGGAUUGUAAAUCAGGGACUAAACAGGUUUCUGCAGUAUAACAUCAUAAAUCUCACACUACAGUUUACAAACUGUAUUAGCUCUAGAAACUUUGGUGUGGAAGGAAACAAAUGAUAUCUCUUUGUGAUUAUGUAAAGUUAAAUUGCAUGUUUACUUGGAUAAACAGAUUGCACCAUGAACCUUCAUCAAGAUUUCUCUCAGUUCCAAAUAUUCCUGUCCAAAACUUCCAGGUUCUCGGUCCGUAAUUUCUUUGUUUUUUAAGCAGCUGGUAGACGAGUGUUAGACACAGUUGACCUUUCUGCUUGUUACAUACUGAAAAGCAGAAUGAUGCUGAUAAUUUUGUGCUGAAAACAUCAGCACUAUUCCAUUAAACAUUUAAAAGUAGCGUAUGUUAAACAGAGGCUAUACAUUUUCUUGUAAUAGUUGCUUUUCAUAGUAACAGUAUUUAUUAGUCAAAUAAAGAUCUUGAUCUUAAGGCUCUGUGCUGUUUGAUAUGAAAAUGUGAUUUAAAGGAAAUCCAAAGCCUCAAAACCCAGCUAUUGGCAGAGAGCUUGCCAGAUCAUAGACAGCAGUGCAUGCCCAGCCACCUGUAAUAUUUUUCACUUAAAAUAACCAAUUAGUUUUAUGUUAAGCCAUUAGGAAUGUAACUAUUUGGAAAGUAUGCAGCAUACUGGGCAUUGGGUUACUUGUGCAACGAAUUUUAAAAUGAUCACGUUUCAAGUAUUUUGUUCUCCCUAAAGUAUUCACUUAGAAUAUUAGUUAAUUCCCUGAAUUAUACUGUGUUCAAGAAAACCCAUCUGAUUAGCAGGGAAAAUACAAAAGCCUAAUACAGCUUUAUAGAGGUCAUCUGAAUACAUAAUAAAAAAAAAAUGAACGCAUAACUGUACUUUUAAUAAACAUCCUCCUAAAUUGCU